Bradysia coprophila is the source of this 517-nucleotide long non-coding RNA. RefSeq lists it as uncharacterized. The record is from RefSeq and is a predicted model, not a curated record. NCBI's taxonomy places the organism in Eukaryota, Metazoa, Arthropoda, Insecta, Diptera, Sciaridae.
UAAUGAAAAGCGUAUUCGUCCGGUUAGUUAGUUUCUUAUCGACUGAUCACAACUUAUCUGUUAACUGAGCUGUUAUAAAAAUGGUCAGGUUUAUUUGUGCAAUUAUUAUUGUAGUUCUUUGUAUAGUGGCGUCGACAGGCUCAGUUCCACAGCGCAACAGAACGAGAUGCACUUCAAAUUUCCAGUGUCCUGAUCACUUGGAGUGCAAAAAUCGGCAAUGCGUAGAUCCUUGCAUUGAUAAGGUCUGUGCAACAAAUGCCGAUUGCACGGCAACAAACCAUCGAGCAAUUUGUAGUUGUCUUAAGGGUUAUAGUGGUCACCCGCUUACCGAAUGUAAAAAAGAGGAGGUGUGUACAUAUAAUCCCGACUGUUCUGCACAUAUGGCAUGCAGACAUGGUAAAUGUGUCGACCCGUGUGCUACUGAAUGCAACAAUACAAGCGGAUGUUAUGUUAUAAGCCAUGUUCCGUUUUGCAAUCAAUAGCGUUUUUUGUAAAUUGUAAAUAUAUAAAAAUUGAA